This 466-nucleotide ribosomal RNA is filed under the name uncultured bacterium. RNAcentral's name for it is "partial 16S ribosomal RNA". It matches the Rfam family "Bacterial small subunit ribosomal RNA", at positions 28 to 505 of the family's 1533-position model. The record is from RNAcentral.
GACGAACGCUGGCGGCGUGCUUAACACAUGCAAGUCGAACGGAAAGGCCCUGCUUUUGUGGGGUGCUCGAGUGGCGAACGGGUGAGUAACACGUGAGUAACCUGCCCUUGACUUUGGGAUAACUUCAGGAAACUGGGGCUAAUACCGGAUAGGAGCUCCUGCUGCAUGGUGGGGGUUGGAAAGUUUCGGCGGUUGGGGAUGGACUCGCGGCUUAUCAGCUUGUUGGGGGGGUAGUGGCUUACCAAGGGUUUGACGGGUAGCCGGCCUGAGGGGGUGACCGGCCACGUUGCGAGUAAGAUCCGCCCCAUCCUCCUCCGGGCGGCAGCAGGGGGGAUUGUUCCACAAGGGCCGGAAGCCUGAAGCCGCCCCCCCGCGGGGGUGAUGGCCGCCUUCGGGUUGUCACCCGCUUUCCCCUUGGACGCAGCGUGAGUCGCGGUAAUGGGAAAAGAAGCCCCGGCGAACCACG